Non-coding RNA from Salmo salar (Atlantic salmon), 54 nucleotides. NCBI's taxonomy places the organism in Eukaryota, Metazoa, Chordata, Actinopteri, Salmoniformes, Salmonidae. The record is from Rfam.
UGUAUUCACUACUGUAAGUUGCUCUGGAUAAGAGCGUCUGCUAAAUGACAAAAA